RNAcentral lists this transfer RNA (90 nucleotides) under Microbacteriaceae bacterium. RNAcentral's name for it is "tRNA-Ser". It matches the Rfam family "tRNA". Rfam says of the family: Transfer RNA (tRNA) molecules are approximately 80 nucleotides in length. Their secondary structure includes four short double-helical elements and three loops (D, anti-codon, and T loops). The record is from RNAcentral. Lineage: Bacteria; Bacillati; Actinomycetota; Actinomycetes; Micrococcales; Microbacteriaceae.
GGUGGCGUGUCCGAGCGGCCGAAGGUGCAACUCUCGAAAAGUUGUGUUGGCGUAAGUCAACCGUGGGUUCAAAUCCCACCGCCACCGCCA